AUUGAACGCUAGCGGCAGGCCUAACACAUGCAAGUCGAACGGUAGCACAGAGAGCUUGCUCUCGGGUGACGAGUGGCGGACGGGUGAGUAACGUCUGGGAAACUGCCCGAUGGAGGGGGAUAACUACUGGAAACGGUAGCUAAUACCGCAUAACGUCGCAAGACCAAAGUGGGGGACCUUCGGGCCUCACACCAUCGGAUGUGCCCAGAUGGGAUUAGCUAGGAGGUGGGGUAAUGGCUCACCUAGGCGACGAUCCCUAGCUGGUCUGAGAGGAUGACCAGCCACACUGGAACUGAGACACGGUCCAGACUCCUACGGGAGGCAGCGGUGGGGAAUAUUGCACAAUGGGCGCAAGCCUGAUGCAGCCAUGCCGCGUGUAUGAAGAAGGCCUUCGGGUUGUAAAGUACUUUCAGCGGGGAGGAAGGCGGUGAAGUUAAUAACUUCACCGAUUGACGUUACCCGCAGAAGAAGCACCGGCUAACUCCGUGCCAGCAGCCGCAGUAA
Molecule: ribosomal RNA, 504 nt
Filed under: uncultured bacterium
Lineage: Bacteria
Description: partial 16S ribosomal RNA
Rfam family: Bacterial small subunit ribosomal RNA
Source: RNAcentral